Molecule: ribosomal RNA, 406 nt
Filed under: uncultured bacterium
Lineage: Bacteria
Description: partial 16S ribosomal RNA
Rfam family: Bacterial small subunit ribosomal RNA
Source: RNAcentral
GACGAACGCUGGCGGCGCGCUUAACACAUGCAAGUCGAGCGAAGCGGCGGACGGGUGAGCAACACGUGAGUAACCUGCCUUAGACAUUGGGAUAGCCUCGGGAAACCGGGAUUAAUACCAAAUGGUCUAAGAUGGACUCGCGUCCCAUUAGCUAGUUGGUGGGUAACGGCCCACCAAGGCGACGAUGGGUAGCCGGCCUAAGAAGCUGGACAGCCACAUUUGAACUGAGAACCGGUCCAAACUCUGCGGUGGGCAGCAGUGGUGAAUAUUGCACAAUGGAGUGAUCUCUGGUACAGCGGCGCCGCUUAAGCGUAGAAGGCUUUCGGGUCGUAAGUUACUUUUAUAUGAAAAGCGGUACCAUAAGAAAAAGCCCCGGCUAACUACGUGCCAGCAGCCGCGGUAAUAC